This 279-nucleotide ribosomal RNA is filed under the name uncultured bacterium. Its description in RNAcentral is "partial 16S ribosomal RNA". It matches the Rfam family "Bacterial small subunit ribosomal RNA", at positions 506 to 784 of the family's 1533-position model. The record is from RNAcentral.
UGCCAGCAGCCGCGGUAAUACGGAGGGGGUUAGCGUUGUUCGGAAUUACUGGGCGUAAAGCGCGCGUAGGCGGGCUGGUCAGUUGGGGGUGAAAUCCCGGGGCUUAACCCCGGAACUGCCCUCAAAACUGUCGAUCUAGAGACCGGGAGAGGUAAGCGGAAUUCCUAGUGUAGAGGUGAAAUUCGUAGAUAUUAGGAAGAACACCAGUGGCGAAGGCGGCUCACUGGCUCGGUACUGACGCUGAGGUGCGAAAGCGUGGGGAGCAAACAGGAUUAGAUA